This 82-nucleotide transfer RNA is filed under the name Verrucomicrobiota bacterium. Its description in RNAcentral is "Verrucomicrobia bacterium (freshwater metagenome) tRNA-Tyr". It matches the Rfam family "tRNA". From Rfam's summary of the family: Transfer RNA (tRNA) molecules are approximately 80 nucleotides in length. Lineage: Bacteria; Pseudomonadati; Verrucomicrobiota. The record is from RNAcentral. RNAcentral also lists the same sequence under 2 other names.
GGGUAGGUACCGAAGCGGUCAAACGGGGUGGACUGUAAAUCCACUGGCUUAGCCUUCAAAGGUUCGAAUCCUUUCCUGCCCA